Myripristis murdjan (pinecone soldierfish) is the source of this 119-nucleotide ribosomal RNA. NCBI's taxonomy places the organism in Eukaryota, Metazoa, Chordata, Actinopteri, Holocentriformes, Holocentridae. The record is from Ensembl.
GCUUACGGCCACACCACCCUGAGCACGCCCGAUCUCGUCCGAUCUAGGAAGCUAAGCAGGGUCGGGCCUGGUUAGUACUUGGAUGGGAGACCGCCUGGGAAUACCAGGUGCUGUAAGCU